Molecule: ribosomal RNA, 236 nt
Filed under: uncultured bacterium
Lineage: Bacteria
Description: partial 16S ribosomal RNA
Rfam family: Bacterial small subunit ribosomal RNA
Source: RNAcentral
UACGAAGGGGCUAGCGUUGCUCGGAAUCACUGGGCGUAAAGCGCACGUAGGCGGGUCUUUAAGUCAGGGUGAAAUCCUGGAGCUCAACUCCAGAACUGCCUUGAUACUGAGGAUCUCGAGUCCGGGAGAGGUGGAGUGGAACUCCGAGUGUAGAGGUGAAAUUCGUAGAUAUUCGGAAGAACACCAGUGGCGAAGGCGGCUCACUGGCCCGGUACUGACGCUGAGGUGCGAAAGCG